UAGCGGCGAACGGGUGAGUAACACGUGAGCAACCUGCCCCGGCCACUGGGAUAACAGGGGGAAACCCCUGCUAAUACCGGGUACGCAGGUUCCCUCGCCUGGGGGAACUUGGAAAGGAGCAAUCCGGACCGGGAUGGGCUCGCGGCCUAUCAGCUAGUUGGUGAGGUAACGGCCCACCAAGGCGACGACGGGUAGCCGGCCUGAGAGGGUGGUCGGCCACACUGGGACUGAGACACGGCCCAGACUCCUACGGGGGGCAGCAGUUGGGAAUCUUGCGCAAUGGGGGAAACCCUGACGCAGCGACGCCGCGUGGGUGAGGAAGGCCUUCGGGUCGUAAAGCCCUUUUCUCGGAGAAGAACGCUCACAGCUAAUCCCUGUGGGCCUGACGGUAUCCGAGGAAUAAGCCCCGGCUAACUCUGUGCCAGCAGCCGCGGUAAGACAGAGGGGGCAAGCGUUGUCCGGAAUUACUGGGCGUAAAGGGCGCGUAGGUGGGGCCGUAAGUCGGCGGUGAAAUGUCCACAGCUCAACUGGGACACUGCCGCCGAGACUGCGGCUCUUGAGUACGGGAGAGGGAAGUGGAAUGGCUGGUGUAGCGGUGAAAUGCGUAGAGAUCAGCCAGAACACCCGUGGCGAAGGCGGCUUCCUGGACCGAGACUGACGCUGAGGCGCGAAAGCUAGGGGAGCGAACGGGAUUAGAUACCCCGGUAGUCCUAGCCGUAAACGAUGGUCACUAGGUGUUGGAGGUAUCGACCCCUCCAGUGCCGGAGCUAACGUGUUAAGUGACCCGCCUGGGGAGUACGGCCGCAAGGUUGAAACUCAAAGGAAUUGACGGGGGCCCGCACAAGCGGUGGAGGAUGUGGUUCAAUUCGAUGCUACGCGAAGAACCUUACCAGGGCUUGACAUCCCGCGAACCCGCUGGAAACAGGGGGGUGCCGGGUAACCGGAGCGCGGAGACAGGUGGUGCAUGGCAGUCGUCAGCUCGUGUCGUGAGAUGUUGGGUUAAGUUCCGCAACGAGCGCAACCCCUGCUGCAUGUUGCUACCGGGUAAUGCCGAGCACUCAUGCGGAACUGCCGGAGCAAUCCGGAGGAAGGUGGGGAUGACGUCAUGUCCGCAUGCCCCUUACGUCCUGGGCUACACACAUCCUACAAUGGGCGGUACAGAGGGUUGCAAGAGCGUGAGCUGGAGCCAAUCCCACAAAGCCGCCCCCAGUUCGGAUUGUAGGCUGCAACUCGCCUACAUGAAGUCGGAAUCGCUAGUAACCGCCGGUCAGCAACACGGCGGUGAAUACGUUCCCGGGCCUUGUACACACCGCCCGUCAAGCGAUGGGAGUCGGCUCCACCCGAAGCCACUGGCCCAACCGGUUUUCCGGAGGGAGGUGUCGAAGGUGGGGUCGGCGACUGGCGCUAAGUCGUAACAAGGUAACC
This 1425-nucleotide ribosomal RNA is filed under the name uncultured bacterium. RNAcentral's name for it is "16S ribosomal RNA". It matches the Rfam family "Bacterial small subunit ribosomal RNA". The record is from RNAcentral.